UCCCGAAGCGUGACGAAGCUUGCUCUGAACAUCAUUGGAUCACUAGUGCGGACGGGUGAGUAACGCGUGGGUAACCUGCCCUAGUACUGGGGGAUAGCAGUUGGAAACGACUGAUAAUACCGCAUAAGCAUACACUUUCGCAUGAAAGAGUGUGAAAAACUCCGGUGGUAUAGGAUGGACCCGCGUCUGAUUAGCUAGUUGGUGAGGUAACGGCCCACCAAGGCGACGAUCAGUAGCCGGCCUGAGAGGGUGUACGGCCACAUUGGGACUGAGACACGGCCCAAACUCCUACGGGAGGCAGCAGUGGGGAAUAUUGGACAAUGGGGGAAACCCUGAUCCCAGCGACGCCGCGUGAGCGAAGAAGUAUUUCGGUAUGUAAAGCUCUAUCAGCAGGGAAGAAAAUGACGGUACCUGACUAAGAAGCACCGGCUAAAUACGUGCCAGCCGCGGC
RNAcentral lists this ribosomal RNA (451 nucleotides) under uncultured bacterium. RNAcentral's name for it is "bacterial SSU rRNA". It matches the Rfam family "Bacterial small subunit ribosomal RNA", at positions 61 to 518 of the family's 1533-position model. The record is from RNAcentral.